This 62-nucleotide transfer RNA is filed under the name Zele chlorophthalmus. Its description in RNAcentral is "tRNA-Val". The record is from RNAcentral. Lineage: Eukaryota; Metazoa; Arthropoda; Insecta; Hymenoptera; Braconidae.
AAAAUUUUAGUUUAUAAAAAAAUUUAAUAUUUACAAUAUUAAGAUACUAAAAGUAAAUUUUA